Long non-coding RNA from Triticum aestivum (bread wheat), 831 nucleotides. RefSeq lists it as uncharacterized. The record is from RefSeq and is a predicted model, not a curated record. Lineage: Eukaryota; Viridiplantae; Streptophyta; Magnoliopsida; Poales; Poaceae. The transcript has 5 exons.
UAUUUCCAGAUUGAUUUCCAUAUUUCCAGACCCGCAGCAACUUGCGCAGCCCCACCUUCCUUCCCCUGAUCCCCUCCUCCCGCGUGCUUCCUUCCCCAUCACCGCGAGUUGACCCGUCCUCUGGUCGUCGCCCGCCGUACAGCAAGCCGCCGCCGACCUCCUCUGCCGGACGAGCAGAGCUCCGUCGGACCUUCCCGACCAUAUCGACGACUAGCCGCACUACGCAUCUGUCCCACCUCCCAGCCAGCCCUGCCGCCCUAGUUAUAUGAAGAACCUGAUUGGUGAAGCUAAUUGUCAAAUCUGCCAGGAAAGCUUCGGCACCACUGCAAAUGAUUGUUCUUAUAUGUUGCAUAACACUAGCAGGAGUACAACAGAAGGGAAGUGGCAGAGAGGGAAUGACAGAGGCAGGCCUAAGCAUGUUCCUUAUAUUCUUCUAUCUCCUAUUUAUUGCAUGGGUCACCAUCAUGAGUGGGCAUUUGCUUACUGGGCAAAGGAGUAGAACCCACAUAUGGUUCUUUGACUAUGCUGGAAGUGACCGUUGCCCAAAACUGAAUUAGAAGGAGAGAGGUCUAAGGAGGCAGAGUUCAUCGACAAGUCACUGUCUGCACUGGGUGAUGUUAUUGCUUCCCUUACCUUCAAAGCGCCCAUGUGCAUGUUUAUUCACCUUCGUUUUUGUUUUGUACUAUCACUGAAACUGACUGUGUGCAUGCAGCAGUUCAUUAGUGCCUAUGUAAUUGAUUAUCCAUGACAAAAAUAGCUCUUUGUAGUGUUCUCUAUUCUUGAGACUGUCCAAAACUCAAUGCUUAUAAAGAGCAAACUUGUUUGUGUGAU